UACAGAGGUCUCAAGCGUUGUUCGGAUUCAUUGGGCGUAAAGGGUGUGUAGGUGGCGCGCUAAGUCGGGUGUGAAAUUUCGGAGCUUAACUCCGAAGCUGCAUUCGAUACUGGCGUGCUUGAGGACUGGAGGGGAGACUGGAAUUCAUGGUGUAGCAGUGAAAUGCGUAGAGAUCAUGAGGAAGACCAGUGGCGAAGGCGGGUCUCUGGACAGUUCCUGACACUGAGACACGAAGGCCAGGGGAGCAAACGGG
RNAcentral lists this ribosomal RNA (253 nucleotides) under uncultured bacterium. Its description in RNAcentral is "partial 16S ribosomal RNA". It matches the Rfam family "Bacterial small subunit ribosomal RNA", at positions 524 to 776 of the family's 1533-position model. The record is from RNAcentral.